CCUACGGGGGGCAGCAGUGAGGAAUAUUGGUCAAUGGUCGGGAGACUGAACCAGCCAAGCCGCGUGAGGGAUGAAGGUACAGAGUAUCGUAAACCUCUUUUGUCAGGGAACAAAGGCGGGGACGUGUCCCCGGAUGAGUGUACCUGAAGAAAAAGCAUCGGCUAACUCCGUGCCAGCAGCCGCGGUAAUCCGGAGGAUGCGAGCGUUAUCCGGAUUUAUUGGGUUUAAAGGGUGCGCAGGCGGUCUGUUAAGUCAGCGGUCAAAGCCCGGGGCUCAACCCCGGCCCGCCGUUGAAACUGGCAGGCUCGAGUUGGAGAGAAGUAUGCGGAAUGCGCGGUGUAGCGGUGAAAUGCAUAGAUAUCGCGCAGAACUCCGAUUGCGAAGGCAGCAUGCCGGCUCCACACUGACGCUGAGGCACGAAAGCGUGGGUAUCGAACAGGAUUAGAUACCCCUGUAGUC
RNAcentral lists this ribosomal RNA (459 nucleotides) under uncultured bacterium. Its description in RNAcentral is "partial 16S ribosomal RNA". It matches the Rfam family "Bacterial small subunit ribosomal RNA", at positions 338 to 795 of the family's 1533-position model. The record is from RNAcentral.